RNAcentral lists this ribosomal RNA (813 nucleotides) under Triticum aestivum (bread wheat). RNAcentral's name for it is "partial small subunit ribosomal RNA". The record is from RNAcentral. Lineage: Eukaryota; Viridiplantae; Streptophyta; Magnoliopsida; Poales; Poaceae.
AUGAUACUCAAGAUCGGCGAGGGCGUCGCUCAUAGCUGCAAGGCGCGUGCGUUGAUAAUCAACACCGCCGCGUCCAUGGAGCGGCCAGCGCUCGCCCACAUCGCGUCGCGCACACGCGACGUCUUCGCGGUAGGUCCACUCCACGCCAGCUCGAGGUCCGCCGCAAGCGCGAGCCUGUGGCGGGAGGACGACGGGUGCAUGGCGUGGCUAGACGGCCACGGCGACCGGUGUGUCGUAUACGUGAGCCUGGGGAGCAUCGCCGUGAUCUCGUACGAGCAGCUCACCGAGUUCCUCUCCGGCCUCGCAGCCACCGGGUACGCCUUCCUCUUGGUGCUCCGGCCGGGCAUGGUCCAGACGGCUAGCUCAGCGCUACUUCGAGAAACCGUCGCGGUAGCGCAAGCCGGCAAGGCCAAGAUCGUGGAGUGGGCUCCUCAGCUGGACGUGCUGCGGCACAGAGCGGUGGGCUGCUUCCUGACACACGCCGGCUGGAACUCCACGCUGGAAUGCGCCGUCGAGGGCGUGCCGAUGGUGUGCUGGCCCUUCUUCCUCGACCAACAGACGAACAGCCGUCUCGUUGGCGCCGUGUGGAGGACGGGGCUGGACAUGAAGGACGUGUGCGACAGGGCUGUCGUGGAGAAGAUGGUGAAGGAGGCCAUGGUGUCCGGCCAGAUCAAGGCAGCGGCCCAAGCCAUGGCGGAGCAGUUGAGGCUGGACAUCGCCGACGGGGGCUCAUCGUCAUCCGAGUUAGGGCGGCUCGUCCGCUUCAUCAGAGGGCUCAGCGUCAAGUCUGGUCCAGAGCCAAGAAUUACUUAA